This is a long non-coding RNA of Amphiprion ocellaris (clown anemonefish), 800 nucleotides long. The record is from Ensembl. Lineage: Eukaryota; Metazoa; Chordata; Actinopteri; Pomacentridae.
CUGGAGCAGGAUUUUGAUGGUCAGAUCUGGAUAUUCCCGGAGGAGCUGGAGCCGGUGGACCGACGGGGUGGGCGGAGCGUGGGACGCCGAUGUUUCCGGAUGUGGAUUUGAAGUUGGGAACUGAAAGAGCCGAAACACAUCAAAAGUUCUCGAUGACUUGGUCGCUUUAAGGUUGGAUAUUACUGCUUGAAGCUCUGGACUUUUAAAUUGUCUGAGGAGGAUGAAAGGAUUUUCCCGAGUCUUCUGCAGGGCUGGUCUGCUUGAACAACGCUGCGAUCCAACACCGACGACGGAUCAGAUCAUGAUCACAGUCAGAAGAUGGAUACUCGCCUGCAGGCAGACCUGAACAGAUACAGCAGUGGUACGAAAACGAAGUAAGCAGAAAGGUCCGGCUAUGGAAGAUUGACCUUAUCUUGCAAAUGAAGUGUCUACUACUUUUCAACUCUGUGUGAAGAUAACUCAGGAACCAUUUCCUUUACUGCUCCUUACUCUAAUUCAGACAGAUACCGUUCAACCCACAAGGAGAACUGGGACAGAUUGUAACUAAUUACCUGUCGAACACUUCAAAAAUCAAAAAGGAUGUCUUGUUGGCCUCGUAUCUAGCAAGCAAUGCAUCUACAUUUGAAGCUAUUUAUGUGAUUCCUAAUAAAUGGAUCAUAUUCCUCAGGCAUUUAACACAAGAUAUGGAGCAUGUGAGAAGCCUCUGGGUAACAAAAUACAAGAUGGAAACCUAUAUGAGUUGCUCAUCUUAGUUUCAUUGUAUAGUACCUAUUGCAUUUUUAAUUGAUCUCAGAUUCGAC